Coturnix japonica (Japanese quail) is the source of this 4928-nucleotide non-coding RNA. The record is from RefSeq and is a predicted model, not a curated record. NCBI's taxonomy places the organism in Eukaryota, Metazoa, Chordata, Aves, Galliformes, Phasianidae.
GCCGCGGCUCCACCCGCUGAGCUGCCAACAGGGCCAGGAGUCCCAAAGCACAGCGAAACCGACGGAGCCUUCCUCCUCCCGAGGCGGGGUCGUCGAAGGAGCGGCCGCCCCGUGCCGGGGGCCUCCAGUUCCAUCAAUGUCUGCUCAUGUUCCAGUGCCGGUGUGGGGUGAGCAGGAGCUGCACAGCAACAGCGGAAAAACACACGGGAGAUGGGAAGGAAAGGCAGUGCCCUGUGGGAUCCCACACUGCAGGGCUGCUCUGCGGCACCAGGGCAGGUGCAAACCACGCUUCCCACGGGGCAAAGGGCAAGGAGCCUUGCCUGGGGCAGAUGGGGCAGGCACCAGCUUAUGUGCUCGAGCCAAAAGGACAGCAUUCAGUGGCAUUAACCACGUGGGUGUAACUGAAUUACAGCAGGAGGAUGUGAAACCUCACGUCUAACCUCAGCUAAUAUUAAGUGGCCACUUGCUCAGCACUCGCAGAUGUCUCUGUGUUCCCUGCACCUCCACACGUACUGCGGCUUCUCUGGAAAGCCCUCGUGACUCCAGCGGAGGUUCAAUUUUCCUUUCCACGCGUGCAGCCCGCUCUGCACAAUGCACCGCUUGAGUUCUGCACUUCCUUCUUGUGAGCUGAUGUGACGAGAUAAGGACAACGCCCGGCAAAGGAAGCGGGGUCAGCAGAGCUCAUCAGUGAGCUGCCCAAACAGCAGAGCUGUGCUCAGUGUGUUCACGCUGCUCCCCUUGUCACAGAGCUGGCACGUGGAAGGGUGGCCGGGUGCUCCUCCAUCCCCUGGGUGCUCCUCUGUCCCACGUGCUCCCCCACCUCUUAGUGCUGCUCCAUCGCUGGGUGCUCACCCAUCCCCUGGGAGCAGCUUCUCCACCACUGGCUGCUCAUCCAUCCCCGUUUUCAUGCCCCCAGGGUGUACUCAGCUAAAUGCUCCCAGGCAGAUCCACUUUGCAGCCCUUCCACAUCAGGAUCGUUGCCAUAAAUUAUUCAGGAAACCAGUCGAUAAGAUGCAUCUCCCGUUGCUCUGGGCGGCAGUGCCAGUACCUACAGCCUUCAUGGGGAAGAAGCAAACACUCUAAUUUUCUGAUGGACUCACAAUGGGAGAACAGAAGAGCAGCCGCAUUCUGGUACCAAGUGCACAUUCCAUGUUCUCUCACAGAAGCAGCAGUGCUGACACCGUCCCUGCUCCAUCCCUCCUGUGCUCAGGAUGCACAUGUUUGCUUGCUACAAGUGGGGAAACAAAAGCACGUGGUGCCAAAGGGACGUCGGCCCGGACGCGGGUGGAGCAGGGCGUCCUCGGAGCCAGGGCUGCGGUGGAAAAAAACAGUGUUGGGAGGAAACAGCUCCUGCUGCCUGAGGCUCACGGGGCAAUGGCAGGCACGAAAGGCUGCAAAGUUCCUUCCUGAGAUCCAAAUAUUAGUUUUUACUCAUUUUCCACUUCUGAAAACAAAUGCCGCUGGCCUGGAGCGCUACUGAGCUGUUCCACUUCCCAGCCCAGAACAAAGGGCUGCACUGUGGCUCCUCCAGCCCUGGGACCGCUGCUGGAGAGGAAUCUAGAAGGCAAAACCCUGCCCUGGGUGUGGAACACACGGCUGUGCCAUCCAGCAGGAUGUGGAAAAUGCACUGGAACUGCACACAGAGGAGAUGGAGCCAUCGGGAGCCUCUCUGGGGGCAGAGAAGUCCCUGUGUGACCACAUCACACUAUGGAGGAACCCCACUGCGUUUCUGCAGUGGAGCUGCAGUGCUGCAAUGAAGCCCUGAAAUCUUCCAACUGUUUGAGAUCAUCAUACUAAAUGAUCGAUCAGCUUUGUGUUCUUUCAGCAAAGCACAAGAGGUGCAAAGUGGGAUGUCCCCAUGGGCACCCCCAGCAGGACCCCAGCAGAGCACAGCCCAGAAGAGAAGACAGAGAGCUGAUGUGACAGGCCCGGGGCGCUCCCCCAGCCGGGCAUUAGCAGCAAACUUGGACGUCUCCGUUAACAAAAUAAAACGGGAAUGCGUGAGAUGAUCCUAUUUCCAGCUGCGGCUCCUCCCCUGUGCAUUCGGCCUCCCCAGCGACUCAGUAAUUUUAGGCACUGCUUUUGGAGCUAUAAACAGCCCGAGUGGGACUGACAUUGCUGGGCAGACCAACGAGGGCAGAGGGUGGGGUGAGCCCGUGGGGGGGGGGGGGUCUGCAGCAGCAAAGGGACCCAGGAGCGUGUGUUACCUUUGCACCCUCCAGAUGAGUGUUUACCUCCACAAAAGCAGCCAGUCCUUGCUGGCUCUGUAGGAACAUUGCAUUCCCGUCUGCGAAGUAAACAAAGUGCUUCUUGCUGGGAAAGCAUGGGAUCUCCACCAGGUUACGGACUGGGAACGACGCCACCAACAGAGGUUUUCCCAGCAGCACAGAAGUCAAGGACUUCCUCUCCCCCCCCCAGACCUUCCCACAUUGCCAGAGGAAGGGCGACUCCUGAUGAGAGCAAUUCUGGAGGCUGCGGGCUGUGACACGAUGCCGGCACACUGCAGGUGCUGCCAUGGGUGAUGGCAGCCACGUGGAGCUGGACCAUGGGGUCCUUGGGGGUCCUUUCCACAUCAGGGCGCUCCAGGACUGGGGGCCAUCAGGAGGAAUGGGGACAGUCCCUGGUGAGAGCAGUGCUGUGCUUUGUGCUCACAGCACCCUGUGUGCUCCUCCACUUUAUGUGAGCACAAUGACUGGAAAACACUGUUUUCCAGCCAGCAUCUGCUAAUUAAAAUAAAAAGCAAUGCCAUACACUCCCUAGAGAGCUCUGGGCUGCUCGCAUGGAAUAAAAGAGACAAAUGCUAACAAUAACAGCAAGACUCCAGCCCUGCCCUGAUGAGAGCAGCCUCUGCUCCCAAUGGGUCCCUUUGUUUGCAGCAACUUGCCUUCUCGUUCUGCAUGGUAAAUAUUUAAUGUGCCAUCUCUGGCAGCCCAGCUACUGGGAGAAAAGUGCUUUUUGGGUCUGCGGGCCAUGAGGCAAAGCGAGAAGUGAGGGGUGAGAGCCACAGGGUCCCCAGGACACCCCACAGCACAUGGCAGUACUGGGUGCCUCGGGAUGGAUGUGCACACCUCUGUGCAGGGAGCGAUGCCAUCGAACUGAGUGUAGAAGCAGGUAAUGGUGAGGAUAUGACAAAAGUAGAAGGCGAAAUUAUGAAAGUCCUACAAACAACGGCACAGCACACCCAGCUCCACCAGCAUCUCCUCGUGCUGCCAGCCACGGCCCCACCUGCUCCCUGCACCCACCCUCCGAGUUCAGCAUCACAGAAAAACUUCAGUUAUUUCUGCAUGGAUUAAAAAAAACCCACCAGCCCAGAUUUCAUGAAGGGAAAGGCAGCCCGCACGCAGCUAAUUUGGGAGAAGAGAAACUAUUUUCUUUCACACAGACGAAGCCGUGGGGAUGGAAAUAAGUUCCUAAGCAAGACUGGCUGAAAGGAGCCGGGAUGACUCAUUUCUUCAGUGCUGAAGCUGUAUUCACUCCCAGGCACCUCUAAUUCCUAUUACAACAAAAGACACCGGGAGCACCGGGGAUCACUCAGGACAAGGCACAAGAGCUCGAUUUCCUGGAGAUGAAAGAGCAGAGAAUUAAUCCCCUGUAUCGGCGGCUCCCCCAGGAUGGGCUCAGCUGGCUCCAUCCCUCACCCUCCACAGACAGGAGCUAUUUUUUCCUGUUCUUGCCAGUGUCAAUAUGUUUCUUUAAAUAUCUGUACAGAGAGGCUAUAUAUAUCGCAACACUGGUGCUUUGAAAGGAGCCUCAUUUCCUGUGUAAGAACUGAAGUUCUUGGCAAAACUGCCGGUGGCUGCAGCAUCUGAACCACAAAAAUUGUUUUGUAAAAGCAAAGAUGUCAGAAGCAAAAUGGCAUUUCCUCCACGAGGCCAAGUCACAACGGACCAGUUCCGGGGUGGGGAACGUCCCGGCGCUCACUGCAAUGCAUGCAAUGGGAUGUGCAGUGCUAUGGCAGCAAGGCUGCUCCCCAACCGUGCCCACCUGCAGAAGGGGCUGCAGGACACAAUGUCAUCAGUGCAGCAGAGGUGUGGAUUUGGGCCAGCAAAGGGUGGUAGCAGCACUCACAGCACAGAGCUCCAAAGGUUCCUUUUGGGAGCUCAAUCAUCAUUUAGGGCUGCACUGAUUUCUUCCCACAGGGAUCUCCCAGCCAGAAGUUGCUCAUCCUACACCAGCCUGGGGCUGUUAAGGACACUCCUUGUUGCUGCACUGGACACCAACAGCCAUCAAGGAAGCCUCCACCAUGACCCACACACAUUCACUCCUCUCCAACACUUGGUUUCCCAAAGGAGGGAAGAAGCCAUGCAAUAGCCCAGAGGCAGUUGGGCAGAUGUGCUCAUGGUGAGGCAGGACACUCUCCCAUACAGCGAGGUUUCCAGAUGAUGCUCAUCCCUACUCACAGUGCUGGGUGUGCUCCUGGAGCUGGCAAAGCUGUGGGGGCGAAUGGAGGCACAGCAGCACUGCGUGGCUUUGUGUCCUGCUGUGAUGCUCAGCUCCAUCUGCAUCCCACAGAAAUCCUUCCUCCUCCUGCCAUCAUCUCAAGAUCAACACCCCAGUGUCGAACAUCUCAUCUCUGCCCAGGCAGUGCACCACGUCCAUGCACUGUGAUAGCAAGCUGUGCUCCUUGGCCCAAUGCUGCCAUGGGAACAUCCACAGAGGAAGGAGCAGGGACAAGAGGGGAAGCCAGGCAGGGAGAUCCCGAGGCACAGACCCAAGGGAGGGGUCCAGGCUUCAGCCCUUCCCUGCACACCCCCAGCACAAACUUCAGCACAAAGAAGGUAUGACAGCCCAUAGCCACCACUGGGGCCUGGCGGGAUGCUCUCAUCUCCCUUUGACCACACUUGGAAAGCUGUUGAGCGUAUGGAACUUUGGUUCAGAGAAGUCACUUUCCAAGAAAAAAAACCCAAUAAAGAACCCCCGUAGUGUGA